RNAcentral lists this long non-coding RNA (1698 nucleotides) under Felis catus (domestic cat). Its description in RNAcentral is "lncRNA (ENSFCAG00000053577.1)". Lineage: Eukaryota; Metazoa; Chordata; Mammalia; Carnivora; Felidae. The record is from RNAcentral.
GGAGAGGGAUGAUGACAAAGAGAGUUUUGUCAUCGAUGGGCAAGCUCUGGGAGCCUGACCUGGCCUUCCUGGGGGAAGGCCUUUAGAUCGGAAAGGAUUACCAUGGCCGCAGCCAGUCACAGCUUUCCCUUGCUCAUUUGGGAUCCGGGGAAAACGACUUCAUCUAUUCUCUAAUAAGUUAACAGGGGCGCCUGGGUGGCUCAGUCGGUUAAGCAUCCAACUCUCGAUUUCAGCUCAGGUCACGAUCUCACAGUUUGUGGGAUCGAACCCCGCAUCACGCUCUUUGCUGAUAGCUCAGAGCCCAGGUGGGAUCUGUUCUCUCCCCCCCCCUCUGCCUUUCUUGCUCCUGUACUUUCACUGUCUCUCUCUCUCUCUCUAAGUAAAUAAACAGUAAAAAAGAAAAAAAGAAAAUAAUGGAGUAACAAGCAUGCCCACUUUUUCAAGCUAAAGAACAAGAUAAAGGAGUUAUGCAAAGCACUUUAUAGUUUCAUUUCCUCCUGUUAGAGUAAUAAGGAUAAAUGAUUUCUGGAGCGACACUUCCAAGGCUGUGGGUACCGUGAUGGCGAACAUUGGAGGAGUCAUAAGUUCCUGUCUUUCCCAGGGGAAAGCAGACGUGUCAUGUGCCAAAAAUCCCCGAAGCCCGAGAUGCAGGAUUUUCCAAGUGGCUCCUGGAGCCAGUAGAGACUCUUAUUCCCAUUUUACAGAUAAGGAAAUUGGGGCCCAGUGAGGGUCAUUGGUUUGCCCAAGGUCACACGUGUAAUAAUGCAGUCUGCCUCCAGAAUCUGUGCUAUUCUGCCUCCGAACAAGAUGACUGAUGAGCGAUUCCAUUUCAGGCUCUCUUGGCUGGGCUGCGGGGAGGACUGUCGUGGUUCACAUGCGAAGAGCGAUGCCCAGAUGAAUCUCACACUUCUCUGCAUCAGGGAGGUGGCCCAUUCAUGUAGCCAGAAGCUCCCCAUGGUCUCCUUGGAACUGGACCACGGUAGCCCCAGAGCCAGGCAGGAGAGGUUGGGGGCUGUCUGACAGACCGAAGCACCUGAUUCCCGUUCUGAGAACCUGGCCUGUGACCGGAAGAGGUCCCAACUGAGGUCCUGGCCUUGGCCCCCAUUUCUCCUCCGAGUCAAGACCGCCACGUGGGCUCUGCCCCCACCAUCCAGCGGCUUCUCUGUGGGGAUCUGUUUGCUGGAUCUGCUCCCUCCCCCACGCCCUUUGAGGCACCGCAUCGAAGGCUGCCAGUCACGUCGUCGUCGUCUCUCAUUAAUGCUUCGGAGGACGAACGAGACAAUAUAAUCGCUCCCUGCACACCUGUCAGGUAGGUGCUGCGUUAGGCAGAAUGUUUGAGGUUGUUUUCAGUUCUGAUCAAAGUGAUUGAAACAGAUGUACCUCGCGAGUCUUAUUAAAUGGCAGGGAAAACUGCUCAUCAGACAUCUGACUGGUCCCGCGAAUUCUUUGUAUGCAGACGAUGUUGCUUUUUCCCCCUUAGAUAAACAAGUGUUUAGUUUUCUGAUCGAUACUUAAGAUUGGGCAAGCUGGAGGAGAAUCCAUUUAAUCCCAGACAUAGUGGCAAUGGCCUGUUGUGAUGCUCUCCUGAUACAGAGUUUAGAAGUAAUUGCUCCCUUUGACAAAGGGAAACAUUAUCUGCUUCGCAUUCAUUCACUCGUUUAUUUAUGUAUUCAAUAAAUAUUGACUGGGUACCUAUCA